Molecule: transfer RNA, 72 nt
Filed under: Pristionchus pacificus
Lineage: Eukaryota; Metazoa; Nematoda; Chromadorea; Rhabditida; Neodiplogasteridae
Description: tRNA-Asp (GTC) (tRNA-Asp-GTC-10-1)
Rfam family: tRNA
About the family: Transfer RNA (tRNA) molecules are approximately 80 nucleotides in length.
Source: Rfam by way of RNAcentral
UCUCUGGUAGUAUAGUGGUUAGUAUCCGCGCCUGUCGCGUGCGAGACCCGAGUUCAAUUCCCGGCCAGGGAG